GUUCCUACGGGCGCAGCAGUCGAGAAUCAUUCACAAUGGGGGAAACCCUGAUGGUGCGACGCCGCGUGGGGGAAUGAAGGUCUUCGGAUUGUAAACCCCUGUCAUGUGGGAGCACAUUAAACCGCUCGUACCACACGAGGAAGAGACGGCUAACUCUGUGCCAGCAGCCGCGGUACUCCCGAGGUCUCAAGCGUUGUUCGGACUCACUGGGCGUCCCGCGUGCGUAGGCUGUUUCUUCCGUCGUGUGUG
Molecule: ribosomal RNA, 249 nt
Filed under: uncultured bacterium
Lineage: Bacteria
Description: partial 16S ribosomal RNA
Rfam family: Bacterial small subunit ribosomal RNA
Source: RNAcentral